CCUGAACGCUGGCGGCGUGGCUAAGACAUGCAAGUCGCACGGGUGUAGCAAUACACCAGUGGCGCACGGGUGAGUAAUGUAUCGCUAAUGUGCCCCGGAGACAGGGAUAGCCAUCCGAAAGGGUGGGUAAGACCUGAUGAUAUAACUUUGUCGCAUGGCAGAGUUCUCAAUUACAGCAAUGUGCUCUGGGAGCAGGCGAUAUCGUAUCAGCUAGUUGGUGAGGUAACGGCUCACCAAGGCGACGACGCGUAGCUGGUCUGAGAGGACGACCAGCCACAUCGGGACUGAGACACUGCCCGGACUCCUACGGGUGGCUG
RNAcentral lists this ribosomal RNA (317 nucleotides) under uncultured Planctomycetota bacterium. RNAcentral's name for it is "bacterial SSU rRNA". It matches the Rfam family "Bacterial small subunit ribosomal RNA", at positions 30 to 351 of the family's 1533-position model. Lineage: Bacteria; Pseudomonadati; Planctomycetota. The record is from RNAcentral.